This 469-nucleotide long non-coding RNA is filed under the name Pongo abelii (Sumatran orangutan). RNAcentral describes it as "lincRNA". The record is from RNAcentral. Lineage: Eukaryota; Metazoa; Chordata; Mammalia; Primates; Hominidae.
CAGAAGAUGGAUGGAUGUCAAGACAGAUGGUGGAAAAGUUGUGAGAUGCAAAGCCUCAUGGUACAGCAGCCAUCUUGGAAUCAUGAAGAUAAAAGCCACAAAGACUGGUAGCUCAGGAGGUGGAAGGACUCUGCAUAGUUGAAGACACUAUGAUUAGAUGUGUCAGCCCUGGACUUAAGUACCUCUGCUUUACUUAAUAGGAGAAAAAUAAACCUCUUCCUUCCUUAUGCCAGUCUUCUCGAGUUCCUUGCUACUUGCAGCUGAGUCCAUCCACUCUUGACUGAUAUCACCUAAUCUCAGUUGCUAUCAGAUUAAACAAUGGCAUUACUUUCAGAGGGCCACCAAGAAAAAAUUGCCUGGGAGAAGAGUAAGGAGCCUGAAGAUCUGACUAACUUUCUCUGUAGCCCUUUACUGAGUAGCAGAUUAGCUGAGCUCACAUGAUCAUAUCAACUAGUCAUCACUUUGAUUA